GACAGAGGGUGCUAGCGUUGUUCGGAAUUACUGGGCGUAAAGGGCGCGUAGGCGGUCUGUUAAGUUCGGUGUGAAAUCCCCUGGCUCAACUGGGGAACUGCGCUGGAAACUGGCAGACUCGAGUACCGGAGAGGAGAGUGGAAUUCCCAGUGUAGCGGUGAAAUGCGCAGAUAUCAGGAGGAACACCAAUGGCGAAGGCAGCUCGCUGGGACGUGACUGACGCUGAGACGCGAAAGCGUGGGGAGCAAACAGG
Molecule: ribosomal RNA, 253 nt
Filed under: uncultured bacterium
Lineage: Bacteria
Description: partial 16S ribosomal RNA
Rfam family: Bacterial small subunit ribosomal RNA
Source: RNAcentral